This 76-nucleotide transfer RNA is filed under the name Geobacter sp. Its description in RNAcentral is "tRNA-Asn". It matches the Rfam family "tRNA". Rfam says of the family: Transfer RNA (tRNA) molecules are approximately 80 nucleotides in length. Their secondary structure includes four short double-helical elements and three loops (D, anti-codon, and T loops). Lineage: Bacteria; Pseudomonadati; Thermodesulfobacteriota; Desulfuromonadia; Geobacterales; Geobacteraceae. RNAcentral also lists the same sequence under 7 other names. The record is from RNAcentral.
UCCCCAUUAGCUCAGUCGGUAGAGCAGGUGACUGUUAAUCACCUUGUCCGUGGUUCGAGUCCGCGAUGGGGAGCCA